RNAcentral lists this long non-coding RNA (606 nucleotides) under Bos taurus (domestic cattle). Its description in RNAcentral is "long non-coding RNA NONBTAT012801". Lineage: Eukaryota; Metazoa; Chordata; Mammalia; Artiodactyla; Bovidae. The record is from RNAcentral.
AGCGCUCGGCGUCGCGAGAAAACAAGCUGUCUUUGGAUUUGGAUGUGAUGAGACCUCUUUGGAUUUGCAAAAUAAAAAGCUGGAAAAUUGCUAUUUGUUUUGGGCUGCGUUCAGUGAGCUGUGAACUGCCCCAGGAUUAAUUAAACCUGCCUGUUCAUCAUCUAUCGGUGUAUCAGCUGUUAGUGAUAAGAGGCCCUUGAGAAGUUGAGGAGAACGAUGGGUGAGCAAAGCAGAUGGGCAAGUGCAAGGGAAGCCUCAAAACCCAAGACUAAGGCCUGCCAGGUUGAAAGGCAGCAUCAACACGAUUGACAGCUGAAACCCGACCCUCUGCACCACACCCAGAAGCCCCUGGACAACUUCCGGCUGCCCCAGGGUGAGGAGGGAGCUUGUGGCCCUACUCAGUGCUGGACAGGCAGGGGGAAAGCUGGACCAUCUUUGCAGUUCAGAUCAUCACCUGGAAGGGUCUGUGGCAUCGUGCCCUGGCCUCGCAUCACAAAGGUCUUUGCGCGAUGUUCUGGCUUCCAGGCUGUGUGGCUAAGUGUCGGGAAAUGAAGGCACAUGGAGGCCGAAGGAGGGUCUCACGGCUGCUCUGAGUUCCAGCAGCUG